Molecule: transfer RNA, 74 nt
Filed under: Caudoviricetes sp.
Lineage: Duplodnaviria; Heunggongvirae; Uroviricota; Caudoviricetes
Also listed under: 1 other name
Description: tRNA-Gly
Rfam family: tRNA
About the family: Transfer RNA (tRNA) molecules are approximately 80 nucleotides in length.
Source: RNAcentral
GCGGUCGUAGUAUAAUGGUAUUAUUACUGGCUUCCACCCAGACGACGAGAGUUCGAUUCUCUCCGACCGCACCA